This 254-nucleotide ribosomal RNA is filed under the name uncultured bacterium. RNAcentral describes it as "partial 16S ribosomal RNA". It matches the Rfam family "Bacterial small subunit ribosomal RNA", at positions 524 to 776 of the family's 1533-position model. The record is from RNAcentral.
UACAGAGGGUGCGAGCGUUGUCCGGAAUCGCUGGGCGUAAAGGGCGCGUAGGUGGUGGCUUAAGCGUGCGGUGAAAGCUCGGGGCUCAACCCCGAGUCGGCCGUGCGAACUGGGCUCACUGGAGCAUAGUAGAGGCAGGUGGAAUUCCGGGUGUAGCGGUGGAAUGCGUAGAGAUCCGGAAGAACACCGGUGGCGAAGGCGGCCUGCUGGGCUAUGGCUGACACUGAGGCGCGACAGCGUGGGGAGCAAACAGG